CCUACGGGAUGCAGCAGUAAGGAAUUUUCGUCAAUGGGCGCGAGCCUGAACCAGCAAAGUAGCGUGAAGGAUGAAUUCCCUACGGGCUGUAAACUUCUUUUAUAAAGGAAUAAAGUGAGGCACGUGUACCUUUUUGUAUGUACUUUAUGAUUAAGGAUCUGCUAACGCCGUGCCAUCAGCCGCGCUAAUACGGAGGGUCCGAGCGUUAUUCGGAUUUCGUGGGUGUAAAGGGAGCGUAGGUGGGUUGUUAAGUCAGGUGUGAAAGUUUGCGGCUCAACCGUAAAAGUGCAAUUGAUACUGGCAGCCGUGAGUACAGUUGAGGUAGGCGGAAGGCGUGGUGUAGCGGUGAAAUGCUUAGAUAUCACGAAGAACGCCGAUGGCGAAGGCAGCCUACUAAACUGCCACUGACAUUGAGGCUCGAAAGUGUGGGUAUCAAACAGGAUUAGAUACCCCCGUAGUC
Molecule: ribosomal RNA, 460 nt
Filed under: uncultured bacterium
Lineage: Bacteria
Description: partial 16S ribosomal RNA
Rfam family: Bacterial small subunit ribosomal RNA
Source: RNAcentral